RNAcentral lists this small RNA (84 nucleotides) under Flavobacterium sp. A45. RNAcentral's name for it is "Flavo-1 RNA". It matches the Rfam family "Flavo-1 RNA". Lineage: Bacteria; Pseudomonadati; Bacteroidota; Flavobacteriia; Flavobacteriales; Flavobacteriaceae. The record is from Rfam by way of RNAcentral.
CCCAAGCCCUGAUGGAAACGGCAUCCUUUUGUGUCCCGUUUUUUCAACGAGACACAAAAGAUAUAGUGGACAGCAGGACACGAG